AUUCUACAGUAAAGUGGUUGGUCAUAGCGUAUUUACUAUUGACAACGCGAGUGAUAUUUUUAUUGUGGAAAUUGUGGUGAUUUAGUUAGCAUACAGAGUUGUCACAACAAAACAAGUUUACCGCAAUACACGAAGGUUUUUUUUCGCUUUACAAAAAGUUGAAGGAAAAUGAAGUUCUACUGCGUUACAUGUCAAGUACAUACAGAAACUGAUGAAAUGAGUUUGAAAAUUGUUCACCUGGUGAACAACAGAAUAAGUAUUCAAGGGACAUGUUUACAAUGCUUCAAAACGAAGUCAGUAAUUAUUGGGAAAAUGAUAUACUGCGUAAAAUGUAAAGCAAAGACGGGCACCGUUGAAGAGUCAUUUGCAAUUGUUCCCCUGGCGAACGGGAGAACCAGUGUUCAAGGGAUGUGUGUACAGUGCAGACAAACUAAGUCUGAAAUUCUUGGUUAGGAAUUUUCGAUUCACAGAAGACUUUUCACUUUUCAUUUCUAGAUGUCUUCUUCAACUUUAUGUAAAUGACAAUAUAAUUACAUGUACAUUGUAUCUAUCAACUUCACAAAGGAGGUGUCCUAUAAUAUAAAUUGUUUAGGGAAUAGAUAUAAAUUCUGAGUGCAUUGUUGUAGAAUAAUGCACGGUUUAAAUUCAAAUGCGUAGUAAUAUAAUCACGAAGGCCAACAGGCCUGAGUGAUUAAUUACAAAGCAUUUGAACGAAAAACGUGCAUUAUUAUACACUAAUGCACGAAGAAUUAAUAUCUAUUUCCAUUCUAACACGUCAAGAAAAAAUAUAAAUAUUAUUAUAAAGUUGGACUUUAUGUUUGGUGUUAAAUUUGUUUUCGCCUCAGAGUUUCCAAUAGAAACGUUCUUUAAAGGCCGUUCCAGUGGGUUGAAAAAAACUACCGUUAAAUCUACCGUGUAUAGAAACAUUUUGAGAAAAACGAAUUUUGAAAACGUUGAUAAAACUUUGUUUGUUUAUUUUAUUUCAGUCUAUAAUUUUCCAAGCGAAAUACAAAUUAUUAAAAGUGAAAUAAAUGUAAGACUUAA
Long non-coding RNA from Ruditapes philippinarum (Manila clam), 1044 nucleotides. RefSeq lists it as uncharacterized. The transcript is spliced from 3 exons. The record is from RefSeq and is a predicted model, not a curated record. Lineage: Eukaryota; Metazoa; Mollusca; Bivalvia; Venerida; Veneridae.